UACCGCCGAGGUCUCCCCAGGAGCAGCAGCCGGCCGACCUGGCCCUUCUUAGAUCUCCUCUACAACGUCGUGGAGCUAGACUUCCUGCUCCUCGACCUACUACACUAUCAUCCCCUUCUCCUCCAAUUCUUCAAACUCCGUCUCCGUGCUACCUACCGCUAGCCAUUCGACUUGUGCUGCGCAGGGAAAUCGAGGAGCCGCUACAAACUUUGAAAUUUUAGUCAUACCCCUGAUCGCGUACACGGCUUCAUGUCUCUCCGACCUCUGUUGGAAAAACACAAGGUCUACAAAACGAACCCACUAACCUUCUUCCAGCAAGUACCGCCGGGUACCGACAAGUUCCCCUACCCCAACGAUUAGCUCCUGAUACUACCGUUCUGUCUGGGUCGUAGCCACCAGAAACUACCUGACAUGCACACCCGUGUUUAAGUGUUAUAGGGGCUAAAUAUGGCGUUCCAACUUCACCACCUAGUCGAACGAGCGGCGUAUCCGGCACACUUCCUCUGAGUUGAGCGAGGGUUCAAUAUAAUGUUCCCUCUGAUGUAGUCUCAAGCUCGUUCCAAUGAACUCCUCGUAAAAAUACUGUACCUGUUCCGUCUUUAGGAUUUGUAGGGAGAAUCGAGAUUCCAUGUUCGUCUGAAGACCAGAACCGUGAUACUAUUCUCCCCGGAAAAAUCACAUGCAAGCCGAAUGUCCGAGGACCGUCGGUGUUUCCUCGUCGCCUGACUAACCGAACUCCCGUUGGGACCUGUGAGUUUAUAACCGCGCCUGUACGCGAGAACCAGUUUUAACACCCCGCGGUGCUAAGGUAGUUUUUAGUUUCCAAAACGUACCGCUGAACGAUUUUGCAGGUAGGGGUGUCCGCUUCAAGCUUUUGUGUCCUUCUACCGUCUGAGCCGACUUACGAGCUAAACAGUACGCCGAGAUCUAUGUACCGCAGUAAGAGAGAAACUGACGGCCGAACGUUCCACGCAGACCCGCGACCGGCUGCUCCUCGACUGCCUACACGAAUAGAGAUUAGCAUGACUACUACGUUUCUUUAUGAAUCUCCUAGACCUCGACCGAAGACGUGAGUUUUGAUUAGUCGGGGUCCGUGACGUACGUUUCCGCUCCCCAUACGUACGUUAAAGGUAUCCGUACGUACCUUGCGUAUACUGUCUUUGUCAAGGGUGUCCGGGGACGACCGACGUUGGACUACGAGUGCUCAAGUUUUACUUGCACCUACGGCCGGACCGAUCCUUGCCGAGUUUCCCCCAACGUCGCCAUUAUACGUCCCUGUUCUCACCGUUUAUGUACCCGCGGAGUCGGCAGCAGAAACUCCCCGAGCAGCUAGGACGCUGUGAACUUCGGGUUCGCACGUUCCUCCGAUACCUAAACCGAUGUCUAGAAGUAGAGCUGAGCAACACAUAACGAAGUCUGACGGAUCUUCACCACCGGUUAUAGUGUAGACUCUGGUGGACGGCCGGCUGUCGGUACCUCCUCAUGUACCGCUCGUACUUCCAGGAGAUAUGCCGUUUUGUACACUCUUUGCUCAGGCCCGUCGUACGGUUUCUUGGUUAACUCUGUAGCUACCUUUUAAAGUUCCUAAUAUAAUUCCUUCUAUCUUCACUUUUCUUAUCUACGUACGGAGAACCGGUACUUCUCUUUAUAUUACUCAGGACGUGGCCUCCUCGGUUUCAGGGGCUCCGUUGGCACUAUCUUCAACUAGACCUCCACUACGAACGACACUUCUGGAGUAGACUAUGUUCUCUCGACUACGGUUCCUUUCAAUUAUUUGGUUGAUUGUUGUAUUUGUAAACGCAUGUUGGGAGCCAUAUU
Molecule: ribosomal RNA, 1818 nt
Filed under: Triticum aestivum (bread wheat)
Lineage: Eukaryota; Viridiplantae; Streptophyta; Magnoliopsida; Poales; Poaceae
Description: partial small subunit ribosomal RNA
Source: RNAcentral